UCUGAAAUAAUUUUGCAACAAAAACAAUAGUAAAAAAAUGCUGAAAUGACAACUCUACCCCUCGAAUUCCGGCCAAUCUCCGGCAACCCAAAAUCCCCGUUCAUUUUCUUCUUUUUCAGGCAAAACGCCACCACCAAAUGACCCCCAAACAAGUACCUCCAACCCAGCCGUUCUCCUUCUUCCUCACACCGGAGCACAACCCAUCAAGCGAAUUAGCUUCGAGCUCGCUAAAUCCACCAAAUACCCG
Molecule: long non-coding RNA, 247 nt
Filed under: Solanum tuberosum (potato)
Lineage: Eukaryota; Viridiplantae; Streptophyta; Magnoliopsida; Solanales; Solanaceae
Description: long non-coding RNA (STUB_LNC010072)
Source: RNAcentral